Molecule: non-coding RNA, 88 nt
Organism: Acanthosepion pharaonis
Lineage: Eukaryota; Metazoa; Mollusca; Cephalopoda; Sepiida; Sepiidae
Source: the annotation of a GenBank genome assembly
GAUUCUCCUCCGAUCACCGAAAUUAAGCAGCAUUGAGCCUGGUCAGUAUUCAGAUGGGUAACCUCUAGGGAAUACCAGAUGCUGUAAG